GGUGGAAUAAUACAAGGUGUUGGAUAUUGACAGCGUUCUCGCUCUAAUCCGCCAUCUUGGCUCCCUUAGCUAUAUCAGUGUUUCCCUCUUGAAAAAACUACAUUUUAUCGCCUUUAAAAAAGUACUAAACUACCUCAUUCCCUAUUCCAAAACUGAUUUGCAAUCAUUGAACAAUUCUUUGACAUUUACUCUAUUCUUAUCGUUGGCAACUGAAAAUUAAAUUAGAAAUUUCAACAUUAAUUCGGCAAAAAAACAUCGGUUUAGAGUUCUCCCCAAGGAUUUGUAGUUAUUUUGGUCGGUGCUUCCUUCCGCUGCAAUUCCGUCUGUGGUUCACUGCCACUGGCCUUGCUUUUUCAACGAUAUAACUGUUUUCUUGUGAUUUUUGCUGCUGCAAUCCCGUCUGUGGUUCACUGCCACUGGCCCUGCUUUUCCAACGAUAUAACUGUUUUUUUGGUAACUUCUACCGCUAAGACUUUGUUGCUUUUUCCCUUUUCCCUAAAAACAUAAUAGUGCUACAAAGCUCAAUAACAAUAUGGAAACAAAUGUUAAUAAGCCACAAUAAUAUUGACAAUAAAUAAUAUUUCACUACGAUUGAAUUUUCUAUUAGUAACAGGGUAGUUAUAGUGAAUGUUUUAUUCGAUAACUAAAACUAUAUUUGAUGUUUGUAGCGAUAAAAAUAUGCCUAAAUCAGCCAAAUACCCUAUGUGGGUCGGCUGAAUCAGUAAAACGUGACAGUAGUUGACUUUUGAGGUUAAUAUAUCGGUCUUGAGUUGGUAAGGUUUUUAAAACAUCCGCAGCUUCCUUUAAAGCAUCGCUGCUAAUUGCCGAGAGGACCAGAUUAUAUUUACCGACAUAAGAUGUGGUCUUGUACGACUGAAAGGUGGCCUCAAUUUGUAGAAACCAUUUGUCUGGCAUCUCAGUUCAGAACGGUCGCAGCUUGCAUUGCGAUGCAAGCUCCACAUCUUUAGUUGGCAUUUUGUUCGAUGAAAUAUUCUCCCCAUCCGUCGAUUCGCCCUUUUGUCGAUUCCGUCAUGUUGUAACGACUCGGGGUCACCACUAAUUUUUUGGUUUUGGAAGUUUGACUAUAAUUAUAGGACAUUGUGUUUAAUAAACUAAAUUACCAUUUAUUGCAUAAGUACUACGUUAUAUAUACUACUUUCGCGAAUUUAGCUUAUCAUAAUAUACCGUUUGUAACUAUUUAUAUGCAAAAUUUUAUAUGAAAAAUAGUACCAAAUUUCGUAAUACUUCGCAAAGCGGGCUUUUUUUCUUCCCGUUUCUCUCGUGCUUCCAUAUUACAACCUUUUGUAAGGGAGCUGUCGACAUGAGCUGUCACUACGUACAACACCUUGUAUAAUUCCACCAUGGUAAUGAUUU
This is a long non-coding RNA of Rhagoletis zephyria (snowberry fruit fly), 1374 nucleotides long. RefSeq lists it as uncharacterized. Lineage: Eukaryota; Metazoa; Arthropoda; Insecta; Diptera; Tephritidae. The record is from RefSeq and is a predicted model, not a curated record.